UCGGGAAUUUUGGGCAAUGGGGGAAACCCUGACCCAGCAACGCCGCGUGAAGGAUGAAGUAUUUCGGUAUGUAAACUUCGAAAGAAUAGGAAGAAUAAAUGACGGUACUAUUUAUAAGGUCCGGCUAACUACGUGCCAGCAGCCGCGGUAAUACGUAGGGACCAAGCGUUGUUCGGAUUUAUUGGGCGUAAAGGGUGCGUAGGUGGUUUGUUAAGUUGGAUGUGAAAUCCCCGGGCUCAACCUGGGAACUGCAUUCAAAACUGACAAGCUAGAGUAUGGUAGAGGGUGGUGGAAUUUCCUGUGUAGCGGUGAAAUGCGUAGAUAUAGGAAGGAACACCAGUGGCGAAGGCGACCACCUGGACUGAUACUGACACUGAGGUGCGAAAGCGUGGGGAGCAAACAGGAUUAGAUACCCCCGUAGUCCCUGAGCGGGCUGGCAAGGCGCAU
RNAcentral lists this ribosomal RNA (447 nucleotides) under uncultured bacterium. Its description in RNAcentral is "bacterial SSU rRNA". It matches the Rfam family "Bacterial small subunit ribosomal RNA", at positions 355 to 825 of the family's 1533-position model. The record is from RNAcentral.